RNAcentral lists this transfer RNA (75 nucleotides) under Anaerolineales bacterium. RNAcentral's name for it is "tRNA-Gly". It matches the Rfam family "tRNA". From Rfam's summary of the family: Transfer RNA (tRNA) molecules are approximately 80 nucleotides in length. Their secondary structure includes four short double-helical elements and three loops (D, anti-codon, and T loops). Lineage: Bacteria; Bacillati; Chloroflexota; Anaerolineae; Anaerolineales. The record is from RNAcentral.
GCGGGAGUAGCUCAGUGGUAGAGCUCCUGCCUUCCAAGCAGGCUGUCGCGAGUUCAAGUCUCGUCUCCCGCUCCU